AUAAAUAUUUCCUUUUCAAAAUUCCUGAUCGUCGUCCUUUCAAAUCCCAUCAUUAUUUUCUUCCUUCCUUAACUCUUCGUCUUCCUCUCAUCUUUAAAGAACCAACCCUUUUCAUUCUCUUCUCUUCAUCUCUGUACAAUGACUCAAACUUGCUCUAUGGCCUCUUUGAAAAAUGUUAUUGAGAAUCCCUACGGAUCUAUUGAAAUUGAUUUUUUCUCUCUCCUCUGACUCAUUUGAAGCAGCAGAGUCAUACGUCAAACCCUUUUCCUCUAAGAAACAACCCUCUUCCAUCAAGAAGAAGGAGAAAAAGAAAGCCAGAUCGAAUUUCUCAGGAUCAUUUAGUCAAUAGACGACAUGCCAAACUUUUAGGGAUCGAAUACAAGAAAAAAUUUGAUGCCUUCAAGAAAUGACCUGUUGUGCUUGGGCGAGUAGUCAACUUAGAGCAGCUGGAGAAAUCUCAUUGUCCGCAAAGGGGGAGAAAAAUGAGCACAUAAAUAAGCACAGAGUCAGGAGGAGCUAAAAGCAUGAAAGAAACAAGUCAGGGGGAGCAGAAAAUAAAAACAGGGAAAUUGAAUGCUCAUCUUGUACUAUACAUUUGCAUUAUCAAAAAAGGAAGAGAUUGAUAACACCAUAAUUAUUUUGUCUAAUGACUAAUGAAUGACUUUCUAUUACAGGAGUAACCAACAGGAUUAGCUAACACGGAUGUGUGACUAACUAUGAUCAAAAAGGAAAAAAAAUGUCUAUAUGGAAGGAAGAUCAAUCAAGAAAGAUUCACACGAGAUUGCUGUUGAGCCAAAGGAAAGAAGAUUCCAGGUGGCAAGAAGAUCAAUCAAGGAUAAAUCAAGCUCCAUGAAAUCAAAGUGUAGUCUUGUUGGAAAACAACCCUGCAAUAGAGAAGAAGCAGCGAAAGAGAAAAUGAAGAAAGAAGAAGAAAAUGAAGAAAGAAGAAGCAGCAAACAGAAGAAUAAAGAAGAACAAGGAAGCUGAAGAGUUUUAACUCUUCAGCCUUUCAUUUUGACGCACAGGUGGCAGCCUCCCAUCCACAUAAAUUCCCACAGUUGGAAUUUGAACUCAUACAAUUAAAUAUAGUUAUGCCCAUAUAAUUAUGGGCAAGUAGAAUAAAAUUGUACAAAUAAGACAAAUGAGAUCCAUGCCUUCUUGUCUCUAUUACAACUAUUAUGUAUCUCUAUAUAAGCAAAUGUACAUGUUAUGAAUAAAUACACAGAAAGUUUUCUUUUUCA
This is a long non-coding RNA of Solanum dulcamara, 1241 nucleotides long. RefSeq lists it as uncharacterized. Lineage: Eukaryota; Viridiplantae; Streptophyta; Magnoliopsida; Solanales; Solanaceae. The transcript has 2 exons. The record is from RefSeq and is a predicted model, not a curated record.